Molecule: ribosomal RNA, 269 nt
Filed under: uncultured bacterium
Lineage: Bacteria
Description: partial 16S ribosomal RNA
Rfam family: Bacterial small subunit ribosomal RNA
Source: RNAcentral
CCGGCGACCGGCGCACGGGUGAGUAACACGUAUGCAACCUGGCCGUGACAGAUGGAUAACCGGGAGAAAUCCCGCCUAAUACAACAUAAUGCCGGGAGGGGACAUCCCCUGCCGGCCAAAGGGGCGACCCCGGUCACGGAUGGGCAUGCGGCGCAUUAGGUAGUUGGUGGGGCAACGGCCCACCAAGCCGACGAUGCGUAGGGGUUCUGAGAGGAAGGUCCCCCACAUUGGAACUGAGACACGGUCCAAACUCCUACGGAAGGCAGCAG